GGGUAUAUUGCAUUAGAAAGUAUUAUUGGAGAUAUUUAGCAUGUGGUAGUUAUCCAAUAUAUGAUAAAAUAGUUAUAAUAAGGACCAUGCUAGUUUGGUGAUCAAAGAAAUAUUAUACGUAUCCAGGUCCUUAAAGUUGAGUUUUAUUUAUGUUUUAGGCUAUGUAAGGGCUUUCGAUCGUAGAGGAUAAUAACCAUAUUAAGAGAGCUAUUAUG
Molecule: long non-coding RNA, 215 nt
Filed under: Carica papaya (papaya)
Lineage: Eukaryota; Viridiplantae; Streptophyta; Magnoliopsida; Brassicales; Caricaceae
Description: long non-coding RNA (CPAP_LNC012442)
Source: RNAcentral